UACGAUACACAGGAUCCAUUGAUCUUAUCCUGUGUGCUGUCAUGCAUAUCGGCGCUGUUCAUAUUUCUCACGCUGGCACCAGAUACACUACCUGCCGUGCUUGACAAGAUUUUCUCGUCGGUGCUGUUCUCGCUACCCGGGCAGACGAAAGCGACGCGGAGUCGUUCGGUGAAGAACGUGCGUCGUCACGCCUGCUCCUCCCUCGUAAAGAUCUGCAAGCAGUAUCCCACUCUGCUGCUGGUAAUGCAGA
Molecule: long non-coding RNA, 250 nt
Filed under: Priapulus caudatus
Lineage: Eukaryota; Metazoa; Priapulida; Priapulimorpha; Priapulimorphida; Priapulidae
Description: uncharacterized LOC106820474, transcript variant X2
Source: RNAcentral